UCCUUUAACGAGGAACAACUGGAGGGCAAGUCUGGUGCCAGCAGCCGCGGUAACUCCAGCUCCAGAAGCGUAUAUUAAAGUUGUUGCAGUUAAAAAGCUCGUAGUUGGAUCUGGGUCGCAUGGCUACGAACCGUAGCUUAUAUUCCUGGCUUGGCUACCGUUGGGUCGGGUUUGUGAGUCGGUUUGUGGCUUUGUAGCCUUUCUGCUGUGUCUGUUUCGACAGGUGCCGAUGGUUUUACUGUUGGCAUGCUUCCAGAUGCCUUUAACCGGGUGUCGGAGGCGGACGGCAUGUUUACUUUGAACAAAUUUGAGUGCUCAAAGCAGGCUUAUGCCUGAAAAUUCUUGCAUGGAAUAAUGGAAUAGGACUUCGGUUCUAUUUUGUUGGUUUUCGGAUCCGAAGUAAUGGUUAAGAGGGACAGACGGGGGCAUUUGUAUGGCGGUGUUAGAGGUGAA
RNAcentral lists this ribosomal RNA (453 nucleotides) under Microphallus primas. Its description in RNAcentral is "SSU rRNA". It matches the Rfam family "Eukaryotic small subunit ribosomal RNA", at positions 530 to 915 of the family's 1831-position model. Lineage: Eukaryota; Metazoa; Platyhelminthes; Trematoda; Plagiorchiida; Microphallidae. The record is from RNAcentral.